Molecule: ribosomal RNA, 376 nt
Filed under: Vexillum exasperatum
Lineage: Eukaryota; Metazoa; Mollusca; Gastropoda; Neogastropoda; Costellariidae
Description: partial 12S ribosomal RNA
Source: RNAcentral
UCUUGGAAGUAAAAAGAAAAAUCUACCAGAGUACUAUGAAUAAGCAUUUAAAACUCAAAGAGCUUGGCGGUGCUUUAGACUCUUCAGGGGAACCUGUCUUAUAAUCGACAAUCCACGCUACACCUGACCCUUUCUUGCACACAGUUUGUAUACCGUCGUCGUCAGGUAACUUCUAAAGAUUUCAAUAGUUAGCAAAAAAGUUUCUAGCAAUGAACUUAAACGUCAGAUCAAGGUGCAACUAAUGGAAUGGGCAAGAUGGGUUACAAUUAUAAAAUAAUAAUACGAAAAACUAGUUGAAACACUAUUUUAAAGGAGGACUUGAAAGUAAAUUAUCGAUUGUAUAUAUAUACUAAUUGAAUAAAGCUCUGAAGCGUGC